This is a long non-coding RNA of Mus caroli (Ryukyu mouse), 386 nucleotides long. RefSeq lists it as uncharacterized. The record is from RefSeq and is a predicted model, not a curated record. NCBI's taxonomy places the organism in Eukaryota, Metazoa, Chordata, Mammalia, Rodentia, Muridae.
UCUGAAGGCAGCAGAACAGAGCAGGACUGAAGGCCACCAAGGGGAUUUCAACUCUUCAGAAAAAUAAAUGACUCACCUUCGCACAAAGAGCAAGAAUCACAGAGGUCAGAUUGUCUCCUCCUGCCCAUCAGGGACAGAGUCCCCGAUCUUUGGCUUGCUCCAUCUGGCAGUUACCAAGAUAUAAGCAGUUUGCCCCAUCCCACAUCAACAACAUGAUAUGCUGUUUUAUGAAUGUCACAGGACCAAGUCACCAUGAAUUGGAGCCUCUGAGACGCUGAGUUAAAAUGAAACUUUCUGCUGUAUCCAGUUCCAGUUCGGUGGACAUCAGGCCUGACUGCUCCCCUCUGAGCUUGCUCAUGUCUCUACUGAGCACUGCACCCAGGAAG